UUGUUAGGUGACUGCGUACCUUUUGUAUAAUGGGUCAGCGACUUAUAUUCAGUGGCGAGCUUAACCGAAUAGGGGAGGCGUAGCGAAAGCGAGUCUUAAUAGGGCGUUUAGUCGCUGGGUAUAGACCCGAAACCGGGCGAUCUAUCCAUGGGCAGGUUGAAGGUUAGGUAACACUGACUGGAGGACCGAACCGACUACCGUUGAAAAGUUAGCGGAUGACCUGUGGAUCGGAGUGAAAGGCUAAUCAAGCUCGGAGAUAGCUGGUUCUCCUCGAAAGCUAUUUAGGUAGCGCCUCAUGUAUCACUGUAGGGGGUAGAGCACUGUUUCGGCUAGGGGGUCAUCCCGACUUACCAAACCGAUGCAAACUCCGAAUACCUACAAGUGCCGAGCAUGGGAGACACACGGCGGGUGCUAACGUCCGUCGUGAAAAGGGAAACAACCCAGACCGUCAGCUAAGGUCCCAAAGUCAUGGUUAAGUGGGAAACGAUGUGGGAAGGCUUAGACAGCUAGGAGGUUGGCUUAGAAGCAGCCACCCUUUAAAGAAAGCGUAAUAGCUCACUAGUCGAGUCGGCCUGCGCGGAAGAUGUAACGGGGCUCAAACCAUGCACCGAAGCUACGGGUAUCA
RNAcentral lists this ribosomal RNA (625 nucleotides) under Pseudomonas fulva. RNAcentral's name for it is "partial 23S ribosomal RNA". It matches the Rfam family "Bacterial large subunit ribosomal RNA", at positions 586 to 1211 of the family's 2925-position model. Lineage: Bacteria; Pseudomonadati; Pseudomonadota; Gammaproteobacteria; Pseudomonadales; Pseudomonadaceae. The record is from RNAcentral.